Molecule: unclassified non-coding RNA, 263 nt
Filed under: plant metagenome
Description: partial contains small subunit ribosomal RNA, internal transcribed spacer 1, and 5.8S ribosomal RNA
Source: RNAcentral
UUUCCGUAGGUGAACCUGCGGAAGGAUCAUUAUCGUAUAACCGAGGUGCGAGGGCAGUCGCUGACCCGAAAGGUCGUGCACGCCCGAGUGCCCUCACACACAUCCAUCUCACCCCUAUGUGCACCACCGCGUGGGUCCCCCUUUGGCUUGUUCGGAGGGGGGCUUACGUUUUCACACAAACUUUGUAUGCAGUGUAGAAUGUAUUUUUUGUUUUUGCGAUCACGCAAUCAAUACAACUUUCAACAACGGAUCUCUUGGCUCUC